RNAcentral lists this ribosomal RNA (490 nucleotides) under uncultured bacterium. RNAcentral describes it as "partial 16S ribosomal RNA". It matches the Rfam family "Bacterial small subunit ribosomal RNA", at positions 30 to 507 of the family's 1533-position model. The record is from RNAcentral.
AUUGAACGCUGGCGGCAUGCUUUACACAUGCAAGUCGAACGGCAGCACGAAAGAGCUUGCUCUUUUGGUGGCGAGUGGCGAACGGGUGAGUAAUGCAUCGGAACGUACCGAGUAAUGGGGGAUAACUGCCCGAAAGGAUAGCUAAUACCGCAUACGCUUUGAGAAGGAAAGUGGGGGCUCUUCGGACCUCACGUUAUUCGAGCGGCCGAUGUCUGAUUAGCUAGUUGGUGGGGUAAAGGCCUACCAAGGCGACGAUCAGUAGCGGGUCUGAGAGGAUGAUCCGCCACACUGGGACUGAGACACGGCCCAGACUCCUACGGGAGGCAGCAGUGGGGAAUUUUGGACAAUGGGCGCAAGCCUGAUCCAGCCAUGCCGCGUGUCUGAAGAAGGCCUUCGGGUUGUAAAGGACUUUUGUUAGGGAAGAAAAGGAUAGUGUUAAUACCAUUAUCUGCUGACGGUACCUAAAGAAUAAGCACCGGCUAACUACGUG